AACGAACGCUGGCGGCAUACUUAACACAUGCAAGUCGAACGGAUGGCUUCGGCCAUCAGUGGCGCACGGGUGAGUAACACGUGGGAACCUGCCUCGUGGUUGGGAAUAACUCCGGGAAACUGGAGCUAAUACCCGAUGAGCCCUAUGGGGGAAAAUUUAUCGCCAUGAGAGGGGCCCGCGUCCGAUUAGGUAGUUGGUGAGGUAACGGCUCACCAAGCCGUCGAUCGGUAGCUGGUCUGAGAGGAUGAUCAGCCACACUGGGACUGAGACACGGCCCAGACUCCUACGGGAGGCAGCAGUGGGGAAUAUUGGACAAUGGGCGCAAGCCUGAUCCAGCAAUGCCGCGUGAGUGAUGAAGGCC
This 361-nucleotide ribosomal RNA is filed under the name uncultured bacterium. Its description in RNAcentral is "bacterial SSU rRNA". It matches the Rfam family "Bacterial small subunit ribosomal RNA", at positions 29 to 416 of the family's 1533-position model. The record is from RNAcentral.